AGAACGAACGCUGGCGGCAGGCUUAACACAUGCAAGUCGAGCGCCCCGCAAGGGGAGCGGCAGACGGGUGAGUAACGCGUGGGAACAUACCCUCCGGUUCGGAAUAGCUCAGGGAAACUUGGAUUAAUACCGGAUACGGCCUAGCGGCGAAAGAUUCAUCGCCGGAGGAUUGGCCCGCGUUCGAUUAGCUAGUUGGUGAGGUAACGGCUCACCAAGGCGACGAUCGAUAGCUGGUCUGAGAGGAUGAUCAGCCACAUUGGGACUGAGACACGGCCCAAACUCCUACGGGAGGCAGCAGUGGGGAAUAUUGGACAAUGGGCGCAAGCCUGAUCCAGCCAUGCCGCGUGAGUGAUGACGGCCUUAGGGUUGUAAAGCUCUUUCGCUAGGGACGAUAAUGACGGUACCUAGACAAGAACGCCCCGGCUAACUUCGUGCCAGCAGCCGC
RNAcentral lists this ribosomal RNA (445 nucleotides) under uncultured bacterium. RNAcentral describes it as "SSU rRNA". It matches the Rfam family "Bacterial small subunit ribosomal RNA", at positions 26 to 518 of the family's 1533-position model. The record is from RNAcentral.